CCUACGGGCGGCUGCAGUGGGGAAUAUUGCACAAUGGGCGCAAGCCUGAUGCAGCCAUGCCGCGUGUGUGAAGAAGGCCUUCGGGUUGUAAAGCACUUUCAGCGGGGAGGAAGGCGUUGAGGUUAAUAACCUUGUCGAUUGACGUUACCCGCAGAAGAAGCACCGGCUAACUCCGUGCCAGCAGACGCGGUUAUACGGAGGGUGCAAGCGUUAAUCGGAAUUACUGGGCGUAAAGCGCACGCAGGCGGUCUGUCAAGUCGGAUGUGAAAUCCCCGGGGUCAACCUGGGAACUGCAUUCGAAACUGGCAGGCUAGAGUCUUGUAGAGGGGGGUAGAAUUCCAGGUGUAGCGGUGAAAUGCGUAGAGAUCUGGAGGAAUACCGGUGGCGAAGGCGGCCCCCUGGACAAAGACUGACGCUCAGGUGCGAAAGCGUGGGGAGCAAACAGGAUUAGAUACCCGAGUAGUC
RNAcentral lists this ribosomal RNA (465 nucleotides) under uncultured Klebsiella sp. RNAcentral describes it as "bacterial SSU rRNA". It matches the Rfam family "Bacterial small subunit ribosomal RNA", at positions 338 to 795 of the family's 1533-position model. Lineage: Bacteria; Pseudomonadati; Pseudomonadota; Gammaproteobacteria; Enterobacterales; Enterobacteriaceae. The record is from RNAcentral.